GGGCGCUCCGUAAGGAGCGGGAACGCGGGGAACUGAAACAUCUUAGUACCCGCAGGAAAAGAAACCAACAGGGAUGCCGGGAGUAGGGGCGACCGAAACCGGCAGAGGGCAAACUGAACCCUGGGUGGUAACAUCCAGGGGAUGUGGGGUUGCAGGGCCCCCGUAAAAAACCCAGGUUGGGAAGCCGAAGUCGCCUGGAAUGGCGCACCAUAGAGGGUGAAAGUCCCGUAGGCAUAACUGACCUGGGUUUUUGGGGUGUCCCUGAGUACCGUGGGUUGGAUAUCCCGCGGGAAUCUGGGAGGCAUCGGUCUUCCAACCCUAAAUACGUCCCAAGACCGAUAGCGCACUAGUACCGUGAGGGAAAGCUGAAAAGCACCCUUAGCAGGGGGUGAAAAGAGCCUGAAACCAGGUAGGGACAGUAUGGCACGGCCCCAAAGGCAACUGUUCCGAAGGAACCCCUCGCGAGAGGGUAGUACGAGGAACAGUGUCCAGGGUCGUGCCGUCCGUUUUGAAAAACGGGCCGGGGAGUGUAUGGCUGUGGCGAGCCUAAGACCUUCAAGGUCGGAGGCGUAGGGAAACCGACAGGUCCGCAGGCUUUUUGCCGAGGGACGGGGUCUUAAGGGCCUGGAGUCACAGCCAUACGACCCGAAACCGGGCGAUCUAGGCCGGGGCAAGGUGAAGCCCCUCAUCAGAGGGGUGGAGGCCUGCAGGGGUGUUGCAAUGCAAAGCGCUCCUCUGACCCCGGUCUAGGGGUGAAAGGCCAAUCGAGCCCGGAGACGGCUGGUUCCCCCCGAAGUAGCUCGCAGGCUAGCCGGGGGUUAGGUCGUGGGCAGGGUAGAGCACUGAUGGGGUGAACAGGGGGCGAAAGCCCUCGUCACCCUGUCAAACUCCAAACCUGUCCACACCGUAGCCCCCGAGUGAGGGCAUACGGGUAAGCCGUAUGUCCGAGACGGGAAUAACCGAGACCCGGGUUAAGGUCCCUAAGUGCCGGUUAAGUGCGAACACGAAGGGCGUCCCUGGCCUAAGACAGCAGGGAGGUUGGCUUAGAAGCAGCCAUCCUUUAAAGAGUGCGUAACAGCUCACCUGCCGAGGUCAGGGGCCCCGAAAAUGGACGGGGCUAAACCGGCCACCGAAACCCGGGGGCACCGAAAGGUGAUCCGGUAGGGGGGCGUUCUGCGGGGGUAGAAGCCUGGCCGUGAGGUCAGGUGGACCCCGUAGAAACGAGAAUCCCGGCAGUAGUAACAGCAAAGUGGGGUGAGAAUCCCCACCGCCGAAGGGGCCAGGUUUCCACAGCAAUGGUCGUCAGCUGUGGGUUAGCCGGUCCUAACCCCCAGGGUAACCCCCUACGGGGGGAAAGGGAAACAGGUUAAUAUUCCUGUGCCGCCAGGGUACGUGCGGCAACGCAAGGCCAGUUCCUGACGCUUCAGGGUAGGCCAACCAUCCCCGUCGGGGUGGUCAAGGGUAUAAGUCCGGGGAGAGUUGUAAUAACGAGAACCGGAUGAAAGCCUGAUGAGCCGCCCGUUAGGGCGGUUUGGCCGAGCCCUGGAGCCCGUGAAAAGGGAACUGGCAAGGAUCCCUGGCGACCGUACCCAGAACCGACACAGGUGCCCCUAGGUGAGUAGCCUAAGGCGUGUCGGGAGAAUCCAGCCGAGGGAAGUCGGCAAAUUGGCCCCGUAACUUCGGGAGAAGGGGUGCCAGCGGCCUUCUCAAGGGGCUGCUGGUCGCAGUGACUAGGGGGGUCCGACUGUUUAAUAAAAACACAGGUCUUAGCUAGCCCGAAAGGGUGUGUACUAAGGCCGACGCCUGCCCAGUGCUGGUACGUGAAGCCCGGGUACAACCGGGUGAAGCGCCAGUAAACGGCGGGGGUAACUAUAACCCUCUUAAGGUAGCGAAAUUCCUUGUCGGGUAAGUUCCGACCUGCAUGAAUGGCGUAACGAGACCCCCACUGUCCCCGGCUGGAACCCGGUGAACCUACCGUUCCGGUGCAAAGGCCGGAGACCUCCAGUGGGAAGCGAAGACCCCGUGGAGCUUUACUGCAGCCUGCCGUUGGGGCAUGGCCGUGGGUGUACAGCGUAGGUGGGAGCCGUCGAAGCCUCCUCGCCAGGGGAGGUGGAGGCGCCCAUGGGACACCACCCACCCAUGGCCAUGUCCCUUACCCCAGUAGGGGGACACCGGUUGGUGGGCAGUUUGGCUGGGGCGGCACCCUCCUGAAAAGGCAUCAGGAGGGCCCAAAGGUCGGCUCAGGCGGGUCAGAACUCCGCCGUUGAGUGCAAGGGCAAAAGCCGGCCUGACGUGACCCCGCACAAUAAGGGGUCACGAGCCGAAAGGCGGGCCUAGCGAACCCCUGUGCCUCACCGAUGGGGGCCAGGGAUAACAGAAAAGCUACCCCGGGGAUAACAGAGUUGUCGCGGGCGAGAGCCCAUAUCGACCCCGCGGCUUGCUACAUCGAUGUCGGUUUUUCCCAUCCUGGGUCUGCAGCAGGACCCAAGGGUGGGGCUGUUCGCCCAUUAAAGGGGAUCACGAGCUGGGUUUAAACCGUCGUGAGACAGGUUGGUUGCUAUCUGCUGGAGGUGUUGGCUGCCUGAGGGGAAGGUGGUUCUAGUACGAGAGGAACGAACCACCGGCGCCUCUAGUCUAUCGGCUGUCCGACAGGGCAUGCCGAGCAGCCACGCGCCAAGGGUUAAGGGCUGAAAGCAUCUAAGCCCGAAACCCACCCCGAAAAUAGGCAGCCGUUCCCUUCGGGGACGAGGGCACCCCUAGAAGAGGGGGUUGAUAGGCUAGGGAUGUAAGCACCGAGGGGUUUUCCCCCGAGGUGUUAAGUCCGCUAGUACUAAUCGCCCGAG
This 2843-nucleotide ribosomal RNA is filed under the name Methanofervidicoccus abyssi. RNAcentral's name for it is "23S ribosomal RNA". It matches the Rfam family "Archaeal large subunit ribosomal RNA". The record is from RNAcentral. Lineage: Archaea; Methanobacteriati; Methanobacteriota; Methanococci; Methanococcales.